Non-coding RNA from Mycena rebaudengoi, 89 nucleotides. NCBI's taxonomy places the organism in Eukaryota, Fungi, Basidiomycota, Agaricomycetes, Agaricales, Mycenaceae. The record is from the annotation of a GenBank genome assembly.
UCCGGUGUGGUGUAUCGGCUAACAUUACCGCCUCUCAAUUUUACGUAAGCUGGUCGCGGUAGCGCGGGGUUCGACUCCCCGCACCGGAA